Molecule: ribosomal RNA, 465 nt
Filed under: Vreelandella stevensii
Lineage: Bacteria; Pseudomonadati; Pseudomonadota; Gammaproteobacteria; Oceanospirillales; Halomonadaceae
Description: partial 16S ribosomal RNA
Rfam family: Bacterial small subunit ribosomal RNA
Source: RNAcentral
CCUACGGGUGGCUGCAGUGGGGAAUAUUGGACAAUGGGGGCAACCCUGAUCCAGCCAUGCCGCGUGUGUGAAGAAGGCCCUCGGGUUGUAAAGCACUUUCAGUGAGGAAGAACGCCUGGUGGUUAAUACCCAUCAGGAAAGACAUCACUCACAGAAGAAGCACCGGCUAACUCCGUGCCAGCAGCCGCGGUAAUACGGAGGGUGCGAGCGUUAAUCGGAAUUACUGGGCGUAAAGCGCGCGUAGGUGGCUUGAUAAGCCGGUUGUGAAAGCCCCGGGCUCAACCUGGGGACGGCAUCCGGAACUGUCAAGGUAGAGUGCAGGAGAGGAAGGUAGAAUUCCCGGUGUAGCGGUGAAAUGCGUAGAGAUCGGGAGGAAUACCAGUGGCGAAGGCGGCCUUCUGGACUGACACUGACACUGAGGUGCGAAAGCGUGGGUAGCAAACAGGAUUAGAUACCCCGGUAGUC